CCUACGGGCGGCUGCAGUGGGGAAUAUUGCACAAUGGGCGCAAGCCUGAUGCAGCCAUGCCGCGUGUGUGAAGAAGGCCUUCGGGUUGUAAAGCACUUUCAGCGGGGAGGAAGGCGGUGAGGUUAAUAACCUCAUCGAUUGACGUUACCCGCAGAAGAAGCACCGGCUAACUCCGUGCCAGCAGCCGCGGUAAUACGGAGGGUGCAAGCGUUAAUCGGAAUUACUGGGCGUAAAGCGCACGCAGGCGGUCUGUCAAGUCGGAUGUGAAAUCCCCGGGCUCAACCUGGGAACUGCAUUCGAAACUGGCAGGCUAGAGUCUUGUAGAGGGGGGUAGAAUUCCAGGUGUAGCAGUGAAAUGCGUAGAGAUCUGGAGGAAUACCGGUGGCGAAGGCGGCCCCCUGGACAAAGACUGACGCUCAGGUGCGAAAGCGUGGGGAGCAAACAGGAUUAGAUACCCCGGUAGUC
RNAcentral lists this ribosomal RNA (465 nucleotides) under uncultured Klebsiella sp. RNAcentral's name for it is "bacterial SSU rRNA". It matches the Rfam family "Bacterial small subunit ribosomal RNA", at positions 338 to 795 of the family's 1533-position model. The record is from RNAcentral. Lineage: Bacteria; Pseudomonadati; Pseudomonadota; Gammaproteobacteria; Enterobacterales; Enterobacteriaceae.